RNAcentral lists this long non-coding RNA (1142 nucleotides) under Macaca fascicularis (crab-eating macaque). RNAcentral's name for it is "lncRNA (ENSMFAG00000058519.1)". Lineage: Eukaryota; Metazoa; Chordata; Mammalia; Primates; Cercopithecidae. The record is from RNAcentral.
GGUGCCUAUUGGCCUUCCCUACAGCAUCCUGCCACAUGCCCUACCUAUCCCUAUCCCUAUUUUUCUCCCUGCCACUAAAACCUCCCAUUGGCACCCUCUUCUCUUAGUGCUCCAGUGUAUGUACACUGCACAAUAUUCUGAGCUAAGGUAUUAAUGACUUAAACACCACAGCAAUUUCUUAAAGGUAACUGGUUCCUAAUGAUCAGGCUGAUAAAUAAACCCAGUAGGAUUGGUUUGCCUGGUUUUCAUUCCCAGUUAGAAUGUACAUAGAUCUCUUUUUCUAGUUCAUUACAUACCAGAAACUCAGAAGUAUGGCCCAGCCUCUGAGAACUUCGGCUCAAGCACUGUUAAUGUUUUGCCAUUUUCAUGUCUAACUGUUUUCUGCCAAAACCUAAGUUCAGGAGAUUAGUCAUUAUUACUGAUGGUAUCAUCACCCAUUGCCGAACUAUAGCAAAGGACAUUUCCUUACAGGUUGCUGGUAUGGAAUACUCAUAAGAUUCAGGAGUGGUCUCCUCUCAUAGGCUCCAAAGGAGGCUAGAUCACAGAUCCCUCCUCCAAAAAUGAAAUUAAUUAUUUUAUUUUGUGUUUCAGCAUCGAGAGUGCCAGAAAAACAUCCCAAGACCCACACAGGGUUGUGCCUCAUAAUGGAUGUUUUGGCCACUGGACAUCAGAACCACAUUUUGAGUUUGAAGAAUAUUCUACAUGCCCAAAGGAGAAUGAUCAGCUGAAUGGGGCUGGGGCGGAAGCCAGGAGCAGAGAGAGGAAAUGCCCCCAAGCUGGAGAGCCCCUGUGAUUAGCAGCUGGAAGCCUAGAGCGUGACCUGCUUGUGAAGAGGCACCUCAGCAGCCAGACUCUGUGCCAAGAGCUGGAAGGCAUGCAGGGGCCACUUGCCCUGGGGGCUACCAGACUCGCUUCCUCCAAUGGCCUGCUCCAACGGUCCCUGCCCUGCAAAAUGCAAAGAGCCUGCUCCCUCCCUCUCUCCUGUUGAUGGGAGUACAGGCCAAGGAUAGUCACUCUCUGGGUGAGAUUUGAGAGGCACCACAAAAGCCCCUUACCCCUGGGGUCUCCGUCAUCCACCGCCAGGGCAGUGGCACAGGGCUGCGCACUCAGCGGGGCUCUGCACAUGGCUUAAUGCUCUGCUG